GAUAAACGCUAGCGGCAGGCUUAACACAUGCAAGUCGAGGGGCAGCAUAGAUUGUAGCAAUACAAUUGGUGGCGACCGGCGCACGGGUGCGUAACGCGUAUGCAACCUACCCGUCACCGGGGGAUAAUCCGGAGAAAUCUGGUCUAAUACCCCAUAACAUAUGGAUCGGCAUCGGUUCAUGUUGAAAUUUUCGGAGGUGACGGAUGGGCAUGCGUAGCAUUAGCUUGUUGGUGAGGUAACGGCUCACCAAGGCGACGAUGCUUAGGGGGACUGAGAGGUUUUCCCCCCACACUGGUACUGAGACACGGACCGGACUCCUACGGGAGGCAGCAGUGAGGAAUACUGGUCAAUGGGCGCAAGCCUGAGCCAGCCAUGCCGCGUGCAGGAUGACGGCUCUAUGAGUUGUAAACUGCUUUUGUACGAGGGUAAAGUGGGUUACGUGUAACCUUUUGAAAGUAUCGUACGAAUAAGGAUCGGCUAACUCCGUGCCAGCAGCAGCCGCCG
Molecule: ribosomal RNA, 504 nt
Filed under: uncultured bacterium
Lineage: Bacteria
Description: partial 16S ribosomal RNA
Rfam family: Bacterial small subunit ribosomal RNA
Source: RNAcentral